GCUAAUGUCCGUCGUGAAGAGGGAAACAACCCAGACCGCCAGCUAAGGUCCCAAAGUCAUGGUUAAGUGGGAAACGAUGUGGGAAGGCCCAGACAGCCAGGAUGUUGGCUUAGAAGCAGCCAUCAUUUAAAGAAAGCGUAAUAGCUCACUGGUCGAGUCGGCCUGCGCGGAAGAUGUAACGGGGCUAAACCAUGCACCGAAGCUGCGGCAGCGACACCGUGUGUUGUUGGGUAGGGGAGCGUUCUGUAAGCCUGUGAAGGUGUGCUGUGAGGCAUGCUGGAGGCAUCAGAAGUGCGAAUGCUGACAUAAGUAACGAUAAAGCGGGUGAAAAGCCCGCUCGCCGGAAGACCAAGGGUUCCUGUCCAACGUUAAUCGGGGCAGGGUGAGUCGACCCCUAAGGCGAGGCCGAAAGGCGUAGUCGAUGGGAAACGGGUUAAUAUUCCCGUACUUGGUGUUACUGCGAAGGGGGGACGGAGAAGGCUAUGUUGGCCGGGCGACGGUUGUCCCGGUUUAAGCGUGUAGGUAUGUGUUCCAGGUAAAUCCGGUUCACUUUAACACUGAGGCGUGACGACGAGGCACUACGGUGCUGAAGCAACAAAUGCCCUGCUUCCAGGAAAAGCCUCUAAGCAUCAGGUAACAUCAAAUCGUACCCCAAACCGACACAGGUGGUCAGGUAGAGAAUACCAAGGCGCUUGAGAGAACUCGGGUGAAGGAACUAGGCAAAAUGGUGCCGUAACUUCGGGAGAAGGCACGCUGACACGUAGGUGAAGUGAUUUACUCACGGAGCUGAAGUCAGCCGAAGAUACCAGCUGGCUGCAACUGUUUAUUAAAAACACAGCACUGUGCAAACACGAAAGUGGACGUAUACGGUGUGACGCCUGCCCGGUGCCGGAAGGUUAAUUGAUGGGGUCAGCGCAAGCGAAGCUCCUGAUCGAAGCCCCGGUAAACGGCGGCCGUAACUAUAACGGUCCUAAGGUAGCGAAAUUCCUUGUCGGGUAAGUUCCGACCUGCACGAAUGGCGUAAUGAUGGCCAGGCUGUCUCCACCCGAGACUCAGUGAAAUUGAACUCGCUGUGAAGAUGCAGUGUACCCGCGGCAAGACGGAAAGACCCCGUGAACCUUUACUAUAGCUUGACACUGAACAUUGAGCCUUGAUGUGUAGGAUAGGUGGGAGGCUUUGAAGUGUGGACGCCAGUCUGCAUGGAGCCGACCUUGAAAUACCACCCUUUAAUGUUUGAUGUUCUAACGUGGACCCGUGAUCCGGGUUGCGGACAGUGUCUGGUGGGUAGUUUGACUGGGGCGGUCUCCUCCUAAAGAG
RNAcentral lists this ribosomal RNA (1317 nucleotides) under Salmonella enterica subsp. enterica serovar Typhi. RNAcentral describes it as "bacterial LSU rRNA". It matches the Rfam family "Bacterial large subunit ribosomal RNA", at positions 997 to 2297 of the family's 2925-position model. Lineage: Bacteria; Pseudomonadati; Pseudomonadota; Gammaproteobacteria; Enterobacterales; Enterobacteriaceae. The record is from RNAcentral.